GCCGUCUUAGCUCAGGGGUAGAGCACUUCCAUGGUAAGGAAGGGGUCGCUGGUUCAAUUCCAGUAGACGGCACCA
RNAcentral lists this transfer RNA (75 nucleotides) under Metamycoplasma salivarium. RNAcentral's name for it is "tRNA-Thr(ggt)". It matches the Rfam family "tRNA". Rfam says of the family: Transfer RNA (tRNA) molecules are approximately 80 nucleotides in length. Their secondary structure includes four short double-helical elements and three loops (D, anti-codon, and T loops). The record is from RNAcentral. Lineage: Bacteria; Bacillati; Mycoplasmatota; Mycoplasmoidales; Metamycoplasmataceae.